Saccostrea echinata is the source of this 336-nucleotide long non-coding RNA. RefSeq lists it as uncharacterized. The record is from RefSeq and is a predicted model, not a curated record. Lineage: Eukaryota; Metazoa; Mollusca; Bivalvia; Ostreida; Ostreidae. The transcript has 3 exons.
UGAACGAAAAGUGCCAGAGGAAUGAGCAGUGUUCUGUGGUAUUCGGAUCGGUUUGUCAGAACAACACAUGCGGCUGUAGGCAAGGAUAUGUCCCCUUCAAUGAUUCGGAAUGCAUUUCGUUAGACAUCCUUAAAAAUUUGUGUACAUCAACUAAGGAUUGUGAAGAUGUAUCUAAGAGAUGUUUAUUGACAGGAAAAUUCGGCGUUUGUGUAUGCAAACCUGGGUUUAUAGGAUUUGGAAACAAAUGUUUAAAGGGCAGUUUGAAACUAAAUGAAGCAUGUCAGCGAAAUGAGCAGUGUUCCGUGGCAUCUGGGUCUGUUUGCCAGAACGGUAUAU